AAAUUUUAUGCUGCUAAUUUGAUAGAGGUAUUGAUUUUAAGUGAAAAUAUGCAGGCCGUAAUGUUAUUCUUUCUGAGUCUGGAUCGCUUAAAGUAAUUAAUGAUGGCGUUACAAUUGCUCGAUCCAUGGAGCUUUCAGAUGCAAUUGAGAAUGCAGGAGCAAUGCUAAUCCAAGAGGUUGCAACCAAAAUGAAUGAUUUGGCUGGUGAUGGUACAACUACUGCAAUUGUUUUGGCUCAAGCAAUGAUCAAAUCUGGGAUGCUGGCAGUUGCUUUUGGGUCUAUCCCGGUUUCUUUGAAGAAAGGAAUGGAUAAGACUGUGAAAGAAUUGGUCAAGG
Long non-coding RNA from Quercus lobata, 336 nucleotides. RefSeq lists it as uncharacterized. The transcript is spliced from 2 exons. The record is from RefSeq and is a predicted model, not a curated record. NCBI's taxonomy places the organism in Eukaryota, Viridiplantae, Streptophyta, Magnoliopsida, Fagales, Fagaceae.